RNAcentral lists this ribosomal RNA (497 nucleotides) under uncultured bacterium. RNAcentral's name for it is "partial 16S ribosomal RNA". It matches the Rfam family "Bacterial small subunit ribosomal RNA", at positions 28 to 507 of the family's 1533-position model. The record is from RNAcentral.
GAUGAACGCUGGCGGCGUGCCUAAUACAUGCAAGUCGAGCGAACAGACGAGGAGCUUGCUCCUCUGACGAUAGCGGCGGACGGGUGAGUAACACGUGGAUAACCUACCUAUAAGACUGGGAUAACUUCGGGAAACCGGAGCUAAUACCGGAUAAUAUAUUGAACCGCAUGGUUCAAUAGUGAAAGACGGUUUUGCUGUCACUUAUAGAUGGAUCCGCGCCGCAUUAGCUAGUUGGUAAGGUAACGGCUUACCAAGGCAACGAUGCGUAGCCGACCUGAGAGGGUGAUCGGCCACACUGGAACUGAGACACGGUCCAGACUCCUACGGGAGGCAGCAGUAGGGAAUCUUCCGCAAUGGGCGAAAGCCUGACGGAGCAACGCCGCGUGAGUGAUGAAGGUCUUCGGAUCGUAAAACUCUGUUAUUAGGGAAGAACAAAUGUGUAAAUAACUAUGCACGUCUUGACGGUACCUAAUCAGAAAGCCACGGCUAACUACGUG